Molecule: long non-coding RNA, 1344 nt
Organism: Dasypus novemcinctus (nine-banded armadillo)
Lineage: Eukaryota; Metazoa; Chordata; Mammalia; Cingulata; Dasypodidae
Source: Ensembl
CGUGGCACCUGGUGAGUGCUCCUUAAUCAGGGGUCAUCACUGUGUCAACCAGCGCUGCUGUGGACCACAGAUCAGACGGUGAGACCAAUGAGCAAUGCAGAGUGAAGGGAGAGCCGAGAAGGGGGAGGGGAGGGGCCUCGGCACCACACCUGCCCAGACGUUUCCCCCAGAGCCCCGGGGACGAUGCCAGGAAGGUCAGGAGAAGAGAAAAAAACUGAGUUGCUGCUCAGAGGAGUCGGAAGAAGCAGACCCAAAAGGCUGACAAACUCCAUGAGCAAUCGCAGUUCACACUUCAUGUCACCAAAUAACUCCCAGGAGAGAGCAGUGGCCCCUCGUUCAUGUGGGGUCCCCUAUUCCUACCACACGUGCUGCUGAACAGCCAGGGCCUUUCCUCUCGGAAGCUUCCAGUCGUAGCCACAGGCAAACUCACGAGUAUGAAAAAUACUAGGAGACACUCAAUGUCACUGUUCCAGGUACUGGGGUAUAGCCAUGAACAGAACACAGCCCUUCAGAGAGCAGAGCAGCAGCUGGGGCUGUGUGGGGAGACUGACUACAAAAGGCACAAGGGAGCUUUUCCGAGUGGAGAAAAUGGUCUGCAAUACAUCUUGAUCAACCCGGAUGUAUGCACUUGUCAAAACUCAAUGAAUUAUACACUUAAAACAGGUGCAUUAUAUUUUAUGGAAAUUAUACCUCACUAAAGUUCAUUGAAAGAACAGAGCCCCUGCCCUCCUGAACCUGUCACUCCAGGGGGAGGAGAGGGCAUUAAGCCAACAAAUCGGAACGGGGGAGCUGGGACAUGGUGAAGGGUAAAGCUUUGUGAGAAGAGUGAGGAUCCUGGUGAGAUGGGAAUGGUUUCAGAAACGCUUUGGCCCGUUGGUCUUCACAGGAGUACGAGUGCCUGGAGCAGGAAAACGCAGUGCUGCGGAGAGAGCUCGGGAAGCUGAGGGAGGAGCUGCGGCACCUGAGCGAGCGCUGAAAGAGCACGAGAAGAUGCACCCGCUGCUGCUCUGCCCCGUGAGCUUUGUGUCUGUGCCUCGGCCCGAGCCGGUGGCCGGGUGCCUGCCGCGGUGAGGCCCGAGGAUCCUCCUCCUCUGCAGAGCGAGGAGACUUGCUCUGUUCCACGCCGAGACCAGGGCCUCCCCUCGGCCACCAAGAGGACCCGGCGUUGGGCUCCCGCCUCCCAGCGCCUGGCCACGUGCCCCGCAGACGCACUUUGUGGGGAGGUCCCACAGAUGCUGGAGCCAGAGUCCUCGAGUGAAUUCAGGCAGGGACAUCACUCCUCAUCCACUUUGGCAGCUAGUAGGUUCCGCUGUUAUGCAGAAUCAUUUCCUCUAGAAUUUGGAU